UUUUCCUACGGGGGGCAGCAGUGGGGGAUAUUGCACAAUGGGGGGAACCCUGAUGCAGCGACGCCGCGUGGGCGAUGGAGUGCUUCGGCAUGUAAAGCCCUAUCAGCAGGGAAGAAAAUGACGGUACCUGACCAAGAAGCCCCGGCUAACUACGUGCCAGCAGCCGCGGUAAUACGUAGGGGGCAAGCGUUAUCCGGAUUUACUGGGUGUAAAGGGAGCGUAGACGGCCGUGCAAGUCUGAUGUGAAAACCCGGGGCUCAACCCCGGGACUGCAUUGGAAACUGCAUGGCUGGA
RNAcentral lists this ribosomal RNA (294 nucleotides) under uncultured bacterium. RNAcentral describes it as "partial 16S ribosomal RNA". It matches the Rfam family "Bacterial small subunit ribosomal RNA", at positions 334 to 645 of the family's 1533-position model. The record is from RNAcentral.